GAUGAACGCUGGCGGCGUGCUUAACACAUGCAAGUCGAACGAAGCACUUUAUUUGAUUUCCUUCGGGACUGAUUAUUUUGUGACUGAGUGGCGGACGGGUGAGUAACGCGUGGGUAUCCUGUCUUGUACAGGGGGAUAACAGUUGGAAACGGCUGCUAAUACCGCAUAAGCGCACAGCAUCGCAUGAUGCAGUGUGAAAAAGUCCGGUGGUAUAAGAUGGACCCGCGUUGGAUUAGCGAGUUGGUGCGAUAACGGCGCACCAAGGCGACGAUCCAUAGCCGACCUGAGAGGGUGACCGGCCACAUUGGGACUGAGACACGGCCAAAACUCCUACGGGAGGCAGCAGUGGGGAAUAUUGCACAAUGGGCGAAAGCCUGAUGCAGCGACGCCGCGUGAGCGAAGAAGUAUUUCGGUAUGUAAAGCUCUAUCAGCAGGGAAGAUAAUGACGGUACCUGACUAAGAAGCACCGGCUAAAUACGUG
RNAcentral lists this ribosomal RNA (481 nucleotides) under uncultured bacterium. RNAcentral's name for it is "partial 16S ribosomal RNA". It matches the Rfam family "Bacterial small subunit ribosomal RNA", at positions 28 to 507 of the family's 1533-position model. The record is from RNAcentral.